Piliocolobus tephrosceles (Ugandan red Colobus) is the source of this 163-nucleotide small nuclear RNA. RefSeq annotates it as U1 spliceosomal RNA. Lineage: Eukaryota; Metazoa; Chordata; Mammalia; Primates; Cercopithecidae. The transcript has a single exon. The record is from RefSeq and is a predicted model, not a curated record.
ACACUUACCUGGCAGUGGAAAUACCCAUGAUCACAAAGGUGGUUUUUCCAUGGCCAGCCUUAUCCAUUGCACUCAGAUGUGCUGACCCCUGCAAUUUCCCAAAAUGUGAAAAACUUGACUGCAUAAUUUGUGAUAGUGAGACUUUUGUUCACACUUUCCCUGA